Molecule: ribosomal RNA, 468 nt
Filed under: uncultured bacterium
Lineage: Bacteria
Description: partial 16S ribosomal RNA
Rfam family: Bacterial small subunit ribosomal RNA
Source: RNAcentral
GACGAACGCUGGCGGCGUGCUUAACACAUGCAAGUCGAACGGAAAGGCCCUGCUUUUGUGGGGUGCUCGAGUGGCGAAAGGGUGAGUAACACGUGAGUAACCUGCCCUUGACUUUGGGAUAACUUCAGGAAACUGGGGCUAAUACCGGAUAGGAGCUCCUGCUGCAUGGUGGGGGUUGGAAAGUUUCGGCGGUUGGGGAUGGACUCGCGGCUUAUCAGCGUGUUGGUGGGGUAGUGGCUUACCAAGGCUUUGACGGGUAGCCGGCCUGAGAGGGUGACCGGCCACAUUGGGACUGAGAUACGGCCCAGACUCCUACGGGAGGCAGCAGUGGGGAAUAUUGCACAAUGGGCGGAAGCCUGAUGCAGCAACGCCGCGUGCGGGAUGACGGCCUUCGGGUUGUAAACCGCUUUCGCCUGUGACGAAGCGUGAGUGACGGUAAUGGGUAAAGAAGCACCGGCUAGCUACGUG